UUUGGCAUAUUUAGAUUUCCUAUUCUUUGGCAUAUUUAGAUUUCCUAUUCUUUGGCAUAUUUAGAUUUCCUAUUCUUUUGCAUAUUUAGAUUUCCUAGUCUUUGGCAUAUAUAGAUUUCCUAGUCUUUAGCAUAUUUGGAUAUCCUAUUCUUAAACAUUAGGUUUUCUUUAAUGUAGCAUACAUUGGAUAUUGUAUACUGCAGCAUAUUUGAGUUUCCUACAC
Molecule: long non-coding RNA, 223 nt
Filed under: Mytilus galloprovincialis (Mediterranean mussel)
Lineage: Eukaryota; Metazoa; Mollusca; Bivalvia; Mytilida; Mytilidae
Source: RNAcentral